This 432-nucleotide ribosomal RNA is filed under the name uncultured bacterium. RNAcentral describes it as "partial 16S ribosomal RNA". It matches the Rfam family "Bacterial small subunit ribosomal RNA", at positions 29 to 507 of the family's 1533-position model. The record is from RNAcentral.
AACGAACGCUGGCGGCAGGCCUAACACAUGCAAGUCGAGCGGACCUUUCGGGGUCAGCGGCGGACGGGUGAGUAACGCGUGGGAAUAUGCCCUUCUCUACGGAAUAGUCCUGGGAAACUGGGGGUAAUACCGUAUACGCCCUUUGGGGGAAAGAUUUAUCGGGGAAGGAUUAGCCCGCGUUGGAUUAGGUAGUUGGUGGGGUAAUGGCCUACCAAGCCGACGAUCCAUAGCUGGUUUGAGAGGAUGAUCAGCCACACUGGGACUGAGACACGGCCCAGACUCCUACGGGAGGCAGCAGUGGGAAUCUUAGACAAUGGGGGCAACCCUGAUCUAGCCAUGCCGCGUGAGUGAUGAAGGCCUUAGGGUUGUAAAGCUCUUUCAGCUGGGAAGAUAAUGACGGUACCAGCAGAAGAAGCCCCGGCUAACUCCGUG